This 1560-nucleotide ribosomal RNA is filed under the name Coniochaeta navarrae. Its description in RNAcentral is "eukaryotic LSU rRNA". The stretch from base 655 to 1560 matches the Rfam family "Eukaryotic large subunit ribosomal RNA", at positions 1 to 941 of the family's 3401-position model. Lineage: Eukaryota; Fungi; Ascomycota; Sordariomycetes; Coniochaetales; Coniochaetaceae. The record is from RNAcentral.
CACACCGCCCGUCGCUACUACCGAUUGAAUGGCUCAGUGAGGCUUUCGGACUGGCCCAGAGAGGUCGGCAACGACCACUCAGGGCCGGAAAGUUAUCCAAACUCGGUCAUUUAGAGGAAGUAAAAGUCGUAACAAGGUCUCCGUUGGUGAACCAGCGGAGGGAUCAUUACAGAGUUCUAAAAAGACUCCCACAACCACUGUGAACGUACCCGUCAGCGUUGCCUCGGCGGGCGGCCCCUCCCUGGGGCCGCUGCCCCCCCUCGCGGGGGGUGCCCGCCGGCGUACCAAAACUCUCCUGUAUUUUAGUGGCCUCUCUGAGAAAACAAGCAAAUAAGUUAAAACUUUCAACAACGGAUCUCUUGGUUCUGGCAUCGAUGAAGAACGCAGCGAAAUGCGAUAAGUAAUGUGAAUUGCAGAAUUCAGUGAAUCAUCGAAUCUUUGAACGCACAUUGCGCCCGCUAGUACUCUAGCGGGCAUGCCUGUUCGAGCGUCAUUUCAACCCUCAAGCCCCGCUUGGUGUUGGGGUCCUACGGCUGCCGUAGGCCCUGAAAGACAGUGGCGGGCUCGCUGCAACUCCGAGCGUAGUAGUAACAUAUUCUCGCUAGGGAGGCGUCGCGGGUUCCGGCCGUGAAAGCCCCAUCUUUUACACAAGGUUGACCUCGGAUCAGGUAGGAAUACCCGCUGAACUUAAGCAUAUCAAUAAGCGGAGGAAAAGAAACCAACAGGGAUUGCCCCAGUAACGGCGAGUGAAGCGGCAACAGCUCAAAUUUGAAAUCUGGCCUCGGCCCGAGUUGUAAUUUGUAGAGGAUGCUUUUGGUGAGGUGCCUUCUGAGUUCCCUGGAACGGGACGCCAGAGAGGGUGAGAGCCCCGUAUAGUUGGACACCGAGCCUCUGUAAAGCUCCUUCGACGAGUCGAGUAGUUUGGGAAUGCUGCUCAAAAUGGGAGGUAUAUCUCUUCUAAAGCUAAAUACUGGCCAGAGACCGAUAGCGCACAAGUAGAGUGAUCGAAAGAUGAAAAGCACUUUGAAAAGAGGGUUAAAUAGUACGUGAAAUUGUUGAAAGGGAAGCGCUUGUGACCAGACUUGCGCCGGGCUGAUCAUCCAGUGUUCUCACUGGUGCACUCUGCCCGGCUCAGGCCAGCGUCGGUUCUCGCAGGGGGACAAAAGCUUCGGGAACGUGGCUCCUCCGGGAGUGUUAUAGCCCGCUGCUCAAUACCCCUGCUGGGACCGAGGUUCGCGCUCUGCAAGGACGCUGGCAUAAUGGUCAUCAGCGGCCCGUCUUGAAACACGGACCAAGGAGUCGAGGUUUUGCGCGAGUGUUUGGGUGUCAAACCCGCACGCGUAAUGAAAGUGAACGUAGGUGAGAGCUUCGGCGCAUCAUCGACCGAUCCUGAUGUAUUCGGAUGGAUUUGAGUAAGAGCGUAUAGCCUCGGACCCGAAAGAUGGUGAACUAUGCCUGAAUAGGGUGAAGCCAGAGGAAACUCUGGUGGAGGCUCGCAGCGGUUCUGACGUGCAAAUCGAUCGUCAAAUUUGGGCAUGGGGGCGAAAGACUAAUCGAACC